UACGAAGGGUGCAAGCGUUACUCGGAAUUACUGGGCGUAAAGCGUGCGCAGGCGGUGAUGUAAGACAGUUGUGAAAUCCCCGGGCUCAACCUGGGAACUGCAUCUGUGACUGCAUCGCUGGAGUGCGGCAGAGGGGGAUGGAAUUCCGCGUGUAGCAGUGAAAUGCGUAGAUAUGUGGAGGAACACCGAUGGCGAAGGCAGCCCCCUGGGCUAACACUGACGCUCAUGCACGAAAGCGUGGGGAGCAAACAGG
This 253-nucleotide ribosomal RNA is filed under the name uncultured bacterium. RNAcentral's name for it is "partial 16S ribosomal RNA". It matches the Rfam family "Bacterial small subunit ribosomal RNA", at positions 524 to 776 of the family's 1533-position model. The record is from RNAcentral.